GACGAACGCUGGCGGCGUGCCUAAUACAUGCAAGUUGAGCGCUGAAGGUUGGUACUUGUACCGACUGGAUGAGCAGCGAACGGGUGAGUAACGCGUGGGGAAUCUGCCUUUGAGCGGGGGACAACAUUUGGAAACGAAUGCUAAUACCGCAUAAAAACUUUAAACACAAGUUUUAAGUUUGAAAGAUGCAAUUGCAUCACUCAAAGAUGAUCCCGCGUUGUAUUAGCUAGUUGGUGAGGUAAAGGCUCACCAAGGCGAUGAUACAUAGCCGACCUGAGAGGGUGAUCGGCCACAUUGGGACUGGGACACGGCCCAAACUCCUACGGGAGGCAGCAGUAGGGAAACUUCGGCAAUGGACGAAAGUCUGACCGAGCAACGCCGCGUGAGUGAAGAAGGUUUUCGGAUCGUAAAACUCUGUUGGUAGAGAAGAACGUUGGUGAGAGUGGAAAGCUCAUCAAGUGACGGUAACUACCCAGAAAGGGACGGCUAACUACGUG
This 497-nucleotide ribosomal RNA is filed under the name uncultured bacterium. Its description in RNAcentral is "partial 16S ribosomal RNA". It matches the Rfam family "Bacterial small subunit ribosomal RNA", at positions 28 to 507 of the family's 1533-position model. The record is from RNAcentral.